Molecule: small nucleolar RNA, 72 nt
Organism: Chanos chanos (milkfish)
Lineage: Eukaryota; Metazoa; Chordata; Actinopteri; Gonorynchiformes; Chanidae
Source: RefSeq, a predicted model, not a curated record
GUUGGAGUGAUGAUUUUAGCUUACCGCCCCAGUCUGAUGUACUCUGACUGAUCGGUACCUCUCUGAUUUACA